GGUCCCUUUAAUGACUUUCUGGGCUGUACUGCUGGCACUGGCUUGGCUCCCCUCCCUCCCUCCCCUCUUUGUCUCUGUGUUUAGAUUUUUCCUGUCUUGUGUUUUCUGUUGUGUAUCGGUCUUGUGUUAUCAUUUUUGUUCUG
Sinocyclocheilus anshuiensis is the source of this 143-nucleotide long non-coding RNA. RefSeq lists it as uncharacterized. NCBI's taxonomy places the organism in Eukaryota, Metazoa, Chordata, Actinopteri, Cypriniformes, Cyprinidae. The record is from RefSeq and is a predicted model, not a curated record. The transcript is spliced from 3 exons.